Molecule: transfer RNA, 63 nt
Filed under: Halidaya aurea
Lineage: Eukaryota; Metazoa; Arthropoda; Insecta; Diptera; Tachinidae
Description: tRNA-Leu
Source: RNAcentral
ACUAUUUUGGCAGAUUAGUGCAAUAAAUUUAGAAUUUAUAUAUGUAUAAAUAUACAGAUAGUA